Long non-coding RNA from Peromyscus eremicus (cactus mouse), 550 nucleotides. RefSeq lists it as uncharacterized. The record is from RefSeq and is a predicted model, not a curated record. The transcript is spliced from 4 exons. NCBI's taxonomy places the organism in Eukaryota, Metazoa, Chordata, Mammalia, Rodentia, Cricetidae.
AACUAUGGCAAGUGAAUUUUUGCAUUGAUGGCAUUUUAAAAUUUGAUGCUAGUUUCUAUAUAGGUGGCAAAAUGUCAAGAGAGGCUUCCAACAUGUUUGACAUCUGCUUCUCCCUUCCCCACCCGGGGUCCUGCCACUGCCAGCAUCACAUCUGUAGCUGAUGAGCAGAGCAUAUCUCCACAGGGGCUGAUGAGAUGCUUCAGCAGGUAAAGUCACUGGCCACCAGAUAACUUGAAUUUGAUCUCUGGGAUGCACAUGGUAGAAGGAGACGACUAACUCUUGCAAGUUAUCCUGGGACCUCCACACAUGUGCCAAGGUCCUGCCUCUAUGUUCCUGCCCUGUUUGAGUUCCUGUCCUGGCUUCCUUCAAUGAUGGACUACAGUGUGGAAGUACUGCUUCAUUGCACACCAGUUCUUCUCCCAUGCCUUGCUAUAAAUGCUACAGAGAAUUUAGGCAGAAUCCUUCCUCCAUUUCCUGCAGUCUGUACCCAGAAAAAAUCAUUAUAACACAGGUUCUCUGCUCUUCUGAAGUCGUGGAUCACAUUCCCUUC